Molecule: long non-coding RNA, 3859 nt
Filed under: Homo sapiens (human)
Lineage: Eukaryota; Metazoa; Chordata; Mammalia; Primates; Hominidae
Description: non-protein coding lnc-TMEM218-1:7
Source: RNAcentral
GAAGUUGGCCGUUGAAAGAGCAACGCUGAUUAGUGAAUCUUAAAUCACCUAAAUGAAAGCCCACUUGUGAUUCGCCCUAAGUAAACCAGAGCCCCGUGGGCUGGAACGCGCCGGAAUCUGAGGUGUGAGUAGAGCCUGGGGGAGAGUGGAUCCAGGUGAAGGGGGCAGAGGACUGGGAGUUUUCAUCCUCUUGAAUAAGAACUCGACAACAGAGUGGGAACUUUCUGUCUUGUGAUCCAUUGCCUGUGUGUUGCACUGGAGCACAGAGGACACUCGAUCGUGCGGCGCGCAGGGCGGGGGGCCGCCGCUGCCUCCCCGCGGGAUGGCUGGCACUGUGCUCGGAGUCGGUGCGGGCGUGUUCAUCUUAGCCCUGCUCUGGGUGGCAGUGCUGCUGCUGUGUGUGCUGCUGUCCAGAGCCUCCGGGGCGGCGAGUUCUGUUGCUUUUCCCGCGAGCUGGUGAAUUCCCAGCCCCAGAAGUGGAAGUUAAGAUUGUGGAUGACUUUUUCAUUGGCCGCUAUGUCCUGCUGGCUUUCCUUAGUGCCAUCUUCCUUGGAGGCCUCUUCUUGGUUUUAAUCCAUUAUGUUCUGGAGCCGAUCUAUGCCAAACCACUGCACUCCUACUGACCACUCUUCAGGAAAACGAAAACCUGUUCUCUCCUUCAUUGUGAUGACAUUGAUGAGCAGGAAGGCACUAUUCAGAGCCUUGUUUUGACAGCCCUCAUGCCUUAAGGUUAGAGGAGUAUCUGUCCAUCACUAAGACAAAUCUCUGGAGUCCUGGCUUCCAGAAACAGGAUUGCCAAAUUGUCCCUGUGGGGCUAGAUUCUUACCAGCUUAAGAAGGAUAUUGCUAUCUUCUUAGUACCCGUACCUUAGGAUUUCCAACUGUUUUGAAAGGGAAAUAGUAACAGUGAUCUGCUUAGAGUGGAUUUUCACUCAAGUCCUUAGUAAGUGGAUUUUGGGGAAAAAAGCACCUGGGCUUCUGGUUCUUUUUGAUAAUAUAUAAAAUUAUUCAUUAUGAGGUUGCAGUUGUUUGCAAAGGAGAGGCACUCAAAUUUGAAAGGUUAUUUUAAUGUGAUAAUUUGGAAGACUUACUCAGAUGUUGGUCAUUGACCACUCUGUGCAUAUAUUUCUGCAGAGCUCUGUGAAGGCAAUGAGUGUCACUUCCCUCUGCUCUAAUAAAGCAAUAAAUAAUAGCUAAAGGGCUGACUUUCACUUCGAACUCUUGGCCACGGCUUUUUAAUCAAGUUCUUUAGGUUUCCUUGGGAUUAGAGGAAAGGUAUGGAAAUAUUGUUUUUUGUUUUUUGUCUUGCCAUGUAUCUGUAGGUUUUUUUCUUCCAUGAUGUGGUGGGCUGUGUGUGCCUUAUUUAAUUACCAUGAGUCCAUUUUGGGGUGUCUUCACUUUUCAUCUUUGUAGCCCUUUCUCCAAAGCUAGUGAGGAAGGUAUAUUCUCAACAUCAGAUAUAACUCUAUACCUGUCUGAUCUCCCAGACCAAAUGAAAUUUGCAUUAAAUGGAGGGGCCCUGGUCAGGUUCCACUUUGGAAGUCUGAUCCUGACUCCCUAGAGCCAUUUGAAAAAGAAUCUUCUGGCUUAAAAUUAAGAACCAAGAAAACAAGUUGGAAAGAGAUCACUGAUGGAGUAUGUGCUCUAUGCCAAUAGCACACUAAUUCCUUUGAGGUUUAAUUUAUUUAAUUUUUACAACGGUCUCAUUUUUAUCAUCCCCACUUUAAAGUAGAAAAAAUGGAAGCUUAAAGAGAUCAGCUGACUUGCCCAACCUUCACCUAACAGCCAGUGUGCAAACCCAGGUGUGGUAGGCCCCAGGGCUUGUCUCAGAGAGAAAACACACUAGGGUUUGUGGAACUCUGAUUGAGAGCUUCAGGUAGGUUAAGGCCACACUGUUCCUUCACUUUCUCUCCUCAAUUCUGUUUUCAGGGUAGAGAAGUUACCCAGUCCUGCCACCCCACAGGCAACUAAGCUCUAAAUUCCAAGAAGAGAGAACAGGUAACCACUGAGAGUCAUGGGCUGGUGAGGGCCAGGUAUAGUUAUCCCUACAUUGAACCAUUUCCUUUAUCUUACUUAGUUUGGAAAAACUUUGCAGAUAAGGCUUUGUACAGAAAACUUCAAAGGAAAUAGUUUCCUAAUCUGGCCUAGGGCACACAGGUAAGAAAAGAAGAAACAUCCUCUAAGCAGAUUGAGGGAGAGAAAAAAGAAUGCAUAAGUCUUGAGGGAAUUGAGACAAGCUGGGGGCCUCAUGCUAUUGUGAGUCUCCCUGCAGCCCAAGUGGAAGCUUGGCUCCUAACAAGCACAAGCUGCCAAUUGUUACCUUCUUCUGAGAGCCUUGCUAAAAAAGUAACUCUGGGAAAACUCUUAUAGGUUCCUGACCAUGAAUCCAUCUUUUUUAUUCCCCCCAAAAGUUAUUCAACUAUUAGAUCAAUGGAUAAUAACUAUGAGGUUUUGGGUGACUAUUUAGAUGGAGGAAAGUGUAUUAAGGUUGGAAACUAAAUUCUAUCCUUAAUACUACUGUUUUCUAAUUUUUGUUUUUUUGCCUGAUGUAAAUGAAAGGCAUAUAUGUUAAAGAUUGGCUUUAGGAAAAAAAAAAAAAUACCCUGUGCAAAGUUUAUUUCAGCUUGACUUGACCUACAGUCUACAGACCUGGAGUCUAUAAUUACCAGCUGUGGUGAAAUGAAUGAUAGAUUUCUUUCUACCUGCAUACUCAAUGCAGUUAUGCAAAAAAAGCCCCGCAGGGUUGGGAUAAGACGUAGAAGGCUGAGAGGGCUCAAAAUGGAUUUCACUGAGAGUUUGGCAUGGGAUAACCCUAUAGUCAAUGUCUGUUAUGGUACCCUGUAUGCUCAUGGCCUUCUUGGAGACAGGGCUCAGAGGUCAUUCCUUAAAUACAGACAGAAGUCAUCUUAGUGUUCAGAACCAUUCUGUGAUCAGUGGCCUUAGAACAUGUUCCCUCUACUGUUCCCUACCCAGAGGGGAUCCUGUGGCAGACUGGUGAUCCCCACUGUUUAGAAGGUGGAGAGGGAGAGUAAAUCUGGGUUUCUAUAUAAGAAAAUAGGUUAUUUCGUGGCGUCUUAAAAUUGUAUCCUGACAAAAGCUGAAUUAGGAGGAUACCACCCUAUCCCCACAAUGGAGAUCACAAUGGGUAAUUUGUUAAGUUCCUUAAAUUUUUCACUGAUAAAAAUGGAAGUAAAGCUACCAUUCUUUGUGUACAAUGUAAAUUUAAUGUAAAACUGCAUCAGAAUUACCAUACCAAUGUCCAGGGACUAGGGAGUACAUAGCCAUUCAUUCUCGAAUCCUGCCAUUCAUUCAGCAUAUAUUGUGUGCCCGUAGGGUGUAAAGCACUAGUCCUGGUGGAGUAAGCCCAUGGAAGAACUAGGCUGUAAGGUGUCUAGACUGUCUUCCUCACUGCUUCCUGGAAGGAGGGCAUCCAAUUUAUUUUUAAAUGUUUUUAUUCUAACAUAAAGCAAUCCAUUUUUUGUUCUGUUAUUUAACAGAAACUUUAGUAUCAACUCUAUUUCAUGGUUGUUGCAGUUGAAGUGUUUCUGGUUUAUUUUUUGCUCAAUGUGUAAAGAAACCUGCUGUGAUUAUUUUACAGAUGAGAAACAGGCAGAGAGGACAAGGGAUUUAAAAAGUUUCACAGUUAAUUAGAAGUGGGGCUCCAACUUGACAUCAGGAUUCCUGACAUCUCAUUUCUCAAAUAGUUGAAAGAUCACUUUUGACUUUCAAGUAACUCCUUAUUUUUACAUUGGUUAAUACUGUUUCUUAGCUGUUUGUACCUGACAUUUUCUUAACACAUAUCCAAAAAGGUAAAAGUUUCAUUAAAGGAUUCUAAUGAUCAUUUUAGUAUGAAUAACAAA